AGUGUUUAUCCACAUACAUUAAAUGGAAUACUGCUAGAUGUUAAUAGUCUAACAUUCUUAUUGAUCAGCAGUCACUCUCACUAAUUUGACCUGGGAGAGGAUACUGCAGGAGGGACAUAUUCCUUAUGGUGGAGAAGGACAUACAUUUUGGUAAACUGAAAAAUCAGAGUGUGAUAAAAGGAAAGUUACAUUUAUUUGAAGGAUGUUCUACUCAGGAUGCUGAAGAUUGUCUUCCAGGAAUCUACAGCUUUGCUCUUAUUACAUUGACGUGGCAGCAGUGCAAGGUCAAAGGAGAAAUACCCACUGGAAGGACACAUCAUACACUUACAGCACACUAUGACAAGAAUGUAUUUCCACAAGUCUUUCUGAAGUCAGAAAUCAAUUGGAAUCGCAUACUCAUUAUAUUCUGGGACUCAGUUAGGAGUAUCUGCUGUCAAAGUUACAGAGUUUUGGUGCAGCUGCUGAAGAGAAGACUGGAAGCCUGUGGGCGAGCUCUCAAGCUGGAGGAGUAUAAUGAAGGCCACAAUGAACUGUUUGGACCAAGCCUCGAGAUGUUCAGGCAAGGUGUUAAUGGCGGUAACUGA
Dromaius novaehollandiae (emu) is the source of this 584-nucleotide long non-coding RNA. The record is from Ensembl. NCBI's taxonomy places the organism in Eukaryota, Metazoa, Chordata, Aves, Casuariiformes, Dromaiidae.